This 325-nucleotide ribosomal RNA is filed under the name Peasiella patula. RNAcentral describes it as "partial 12S ribosomal RNA". The record is from RNAcentral. Lineage: Eukaryota; Metazoa; Mollusca; Gastropoda; Littorinimorpha; Littorinidae.
UUAAUUGUAAAUUAAUUUUACUAGAGUACUAUGAAUAAAAUUUAAAACUCAAAGAGCUUGGCGGUGCUUUAGACUAUUCAGGGGAACCUGUCUCAUAAUCGACAUUCCACGUGUUAUCUUACCUUUUAGCAGUAUGUAUACCGUCGUCGUCAGGUAACUUUUAAAAAUAUAGAAGUUAGCUAACUUUGACGUCAGAUCAAGGUGCAGCUUAUAGGAAGGUGAGGAUGGGUUACAAUUAAGAUUUAUAACUACGGAAAUGAGCUUUAGAAGGCGGACUUGAAAGUAAAAAUUAGUAUAUAGAUUUUUUGAAUAUAGCUCUGGGGCG